GAUAAACGCUGGCGGCGCACAUAAGACAUGCAAGUCGAACGGACUUAACCAUUAGUUUACUAUUGGAGCGGUUAGUGGCGGACUGGUGAGUAACACGUAAGCAACCUGCCUAUCAGAGGGGAACAACAGUUAGAAAUGACUGCUAAUACCGCAUAUGCCUUAAUUACCACAUGGUAGUAGAGGGUAAAGGAGCAAUCCGCUGAUAGAUGGGCUUGCGUCUGAUUAGAUAGUUGGUAAGGUAACGGCUUACCAAGUCGACGAUCAGUAGCCGGACUGAGAGGUUGAACGGCCACAUUGGGACUGAGAUACGGCCCAG
RNAcentral lists this ribosomal RNA (316 nucleotides) under uncultured bacterium. Its description in RNAcentral is "bacterial SSU rRNA". It matches the Rfam family "Bacterial small subunit ribosomal RNA", at positions 28 to 334 of the family's 1533-position model. The record is from RNAcentral.